UACGUGGGGUGCAAGCGUUGUUCGGAAUUACUGGGCGUAAAGCGCGUGUAGGCGGUUCGCUAAGUUCGAUGUGAAAGCCCUGGGCUUAACCCAGGAACUGCAUUGAAAACUGGCGGACUUGAGUCCGGGAGAGGGUCGCGGAAUUCCUGGUGUAAGCGGUGGAAUGCGCAGAUAUCAGGAGGACACCAAUAAGCGAAGGCAGCUCGCUGGGACGGUACUGA
Molecule: ribosomal RNA, 221 nt
Filed under: uncultured bacterium
Lineage: Bacteria
Description: partial 16S ribosomal RNA
Rfam family: Bacterial small subunit ribosomal RNA
Source: RNAcentral